GCCUCGGUGGCUCAGUCGGUUAAGCGGCCGACUUCGGCUCAGGUCAUGAUCUUGCAGACCGUGAGUUCGAGCCCCAUCUGGGGCU
This 85-nucleotide transfer RNA is filed under the name Felis catus (domestic cat). It matches the Rfam family "tRNA". From Rfam's summary of the family: Transfer RNA (tRNA) molecules are approximately 80 nucleotides in length. Their secondary structure includes four short double-helical elements and three loops (D, anti-codon, and T loops). The record is from Rfam by way of RNAcentral. Lineage: Eukaryota; Metazoa; Chordata; Mammalia; Carnivora; Felidae.